Molecule: ribosomal RNA, 333 nt
Filed under: Coronella austriaca
Lineage: Eukaryota; Metazoa; Chordata; Lepidosauria; Squamata; Colubridae
Description: partial large subunit ribosomal RNA
Rfam family: Bacterial large subunit ribosomal RNA
Source: RNAcentral
CUAGUAAAAAAGCUAGAAUAUCAACAUAAGACCAGAAGACCCUGUGAAGCUUAAAUAAAACUAUUAAACCAUAUAAUAACUACUUUCGGUUGGGGCGACCUUGGAAAAAAAGAGAACUUCCAAAUAAAAUGACUAUACCUCAUUAAUCUUAAACAGGCCAACAAGCCAAAAAUGACCCAGCACAGCUGAUAAUUGAACCAAGUUACUCCAGGGAUAACAGCGCAAUCUUCUUCAAGAGCCCAUAUCAAAAAGAAGGUUUACGACCUCGAUGUUGGAUCAGGACAUCCUAAUGGUGCAGCCGCUAUUAAGGGUUCGUUUGUUCAACGAUUAAUA